RNAcentral lists this ribosomal RNA (467 nucleotides) under uncultured bacterium. RNAcentral describes it as "partial 16S ribosomal RNA". It matches the Rfam family "Bacterial small subunit ribosomal RNA", at positions 28 to 506 of the family's 1533-position model. The record is from RNAcentral.
GACGAACGCUGGCGGCGUGCUUAACACAUGCAAGUCGAACGGAAAGGCCCUGCUUUUGUGGGGUGCUCGAGUGGCGAACGGGUGAGUAACACGUGAGUAACCUGCCCUUGACUUUGGGAUAACUUCAGGAAACUGGGGCUAAUACCGGAUAGGAGCUCCUGCUGCAUGGUGGGGGUUGGAAAGUUUCGGCGGUUGGGGAUGGACUCGCGGCUGAUCAGCUUGUUGGUGGGGUAGUGGCUUACCAAGGCUUUGACGGGUAGCCGGCCUGAGAGGGUGACCGGCCACAUUGGGACUGAGAUACGGCCCAGACUCCUACGGGAGGCAGCAGUGGGGAAUAUUGCACAAUGGGCGGAAGCCUGAUGCAGCAACGCCGCGUGCGGGAUGACGGCCUUCGGGUUGUAAACCGCUUUCGCCUGUGACGAAGCGUGAGUGACGGUAAUGGGGAAAGAAGCACCGGCUAACUACGU